CUGCAGGACAAGUUCAAGCAUCUUAAAAUGAUUCAACAGGAGGAGAUAAGGAAGCUUGAGGAAGAGAAAAAACUGGAAGGAGAAAUAAUAGAUUUAAUAAAAUGAAGGCUGCCUCUGAAGCACGGCAGACUCAGUUGAGCACCAAUACAAAGAAAGACAAAGAUC
RNAcentral lists this long non-coding RNA (165 nucleotides) under Pongo abelii (Sumatran orangutan). RNAcentral's name for it is "lincRNA". The record is from RNAcentral. Lineage: Eukaryota; Metazoa; Chordata; Mammalia; Primates; Hominidae.